CUUCUCUUUCAAAAAAAUUUACCCUCUCUAAACUCAUCUCCCCCGAAAUUCCCACCACCGGCAUUCAUCUCCCCCCAAAACUGUUUGAUGUUCCUAAAGUGAAACUAUGUGCGCCUAUUUCUGAGUAUGUUUUAGGUGGGUUUGUUGAUUAGCUUGUUAAGCAGUCCUUGUUACCACCGGCGUUCUCCAGGUAGCCGACGCCGUCCAGUUAAACCACCAGCCGCCGCCGACUGAACAGUCAGCUGGGUUGUCAAUUGCCGGAGUUAAGGAAGAUUUGCUAGAUACAAGAAAGUAGCAGCAGAGAAAUCUAUGUGGGUCAGUUUGCUUGUGAUUUGAAACUUGAUGGAUAUUACAUCUCUUCUACUCUUUUUUAACCGACAGUAUGGUUCGAGCGCACUUGGAGGGCCUGUUUUGAAAUCUGCCAAGCAUAUAUGUUUGUUUCUCUUCUAAAUUAUAGCUUCUUCUGUGGUUUUCUUUUCUAAGUGUUAGUUUCUCAUUUAUUUAAAAAGAAAAAAUAAUUAAAUGUCAAUUAGGCAGGACUAAUGUAAAACAACAUACCCAUUAUAAUUUCACAAGUGGGGUUUGGGGAGGGUAUUGUCUAUACAGACCUUACCACAAGUUGAUUGGAAGUUAUAAUAAAAAUUGAUAGACAAAGAAAUCUAGUAGUCUGAUAAUGUCUUUCACUAGAUCCAUAUCUGGUUAAGUACUUAUUUGGUUAUUGGUGGUAAAUUGUAAUAUAUAUGUGUGUAAUAUCACAUUAUAUUACUUGAUCUAUUUUACUAAGUUGCGUGCUUCUUUGAGAUGAGAUAAAUUAGAAUAGAAAAUGGGUCUUUAUUAUACUGACA
Lycium ferocissimum is the source of this 845-nucleotide long non-coding RNA. RefSeq lists it as uncharacterized. NCBI's taxonomy places the organism in Eukaryota, Viridiplantae, Streptophyta, Magnoliopsida, Solanales, Solanaceae. The transcript is spliced from 4 exons. The record is from RefSeq and is a predicted model, not a curated record.